UACGUAGGGUGCAAGCGUUAAUCGGAAUACUGGGCGUAAAGCGUGCGCAGGCGGUUAUGUAAGACAGUUGUGAAAUCCCCGGGCUCAACCUGGGAACUGCAUCUGUGACUGCAUAGCUAGAGUACGGUAGAGGGGGGGGAGUAGGUCAACUCCGCGUGUAGCAGUGAAAUGCGUAGAUAUGCGGAGGAACACCGAUGGCGAAGGCAAUCCCCUGGACCUGUACUGACGCUCAUGCACGAAAGCGUGGGGAGCAAACAGG
Molecule: ribosomal RNA, 259 nt
Filed under: uncultured bacterium
Lineage: Bacteria
Description: partial 16S ribosomal RNA
Rfam family: Bacterial small subunit ribosomal RNA
Source: RNAcentral